Molecule: unclassified non-coding RNA, 874 nt
Filed under: Hevea brasiliensis (rubber tree)
Lineage: Eukaryota; Viridiplantae; Streptophyta; Magnoliopsida; Malpighiales; Euphorbiaceae
Source: RNAcentral
AUAAGUUGGUGACUAAAUUUAUAACUGUUGUCAGUUAAAAAGUUCAACUAUCAUAUCCCUAACUAAGAUAUUCUACAUUUAGAGUACAGAAAAUGCCACUUAUUGGUAAAUAAUUGCUUAGAAAGUGUCUCAAUUGUUUUUUUAGCAAUACAUCAUCUGAACUUUAGUGGCAACUAGAUGAAAUACAAUGGAAAGCACAUCAGCCUUGGCUUUAACUUCUACAAUUUGUUAUUUGUCUACUAGUGUUUACUCAAAUUCAGUCACCUAAAUAUAGAAAUAAUACGUAGAUUUGUUGUUCACAAAAUAGAUCUUGAAUCAAUUUGGUACUAAAGUGUUGGCAUGUUCCUGGUAAAUAUACGAACUAGACCUAGUAUCGAUUUCUUUAAUGAACAUAAAGAAAGCUACGUAAGUACGAAGGAGAAAUUAUUUAGGUCAAUACAUGUGAGGAACUAACAAAACCUACAACAUUUUUGAGAUGGUCUCAACUCACAGACCUACAGCCCCAUUAACAUAUCUACAGGAGUUACGUUUUAACUUGAUUAUGUUAAACAUCACUACAACAGAUUCAAUGAUGAAGGUAUGCCUUUGUCACCAGAAGACCAGGUUAGGCAACUUAGUUUGGCAAUCUAAUGAUUCUAAUUCAGAAUAUAACAUUCUAAUUCAGAAUAUAACAUUCUGCAAGUCAUAUUCUUCAAAAAUUACAAAAAAUAUACUUUCUUUCAAACUUGCCUAGUUCUUGACAGCCACAGAACACUAAUGUAUUUGGCGAACUUGGGAAUAUUAGGAUCCAUUUAACAUAAUGUAUGCAUUUUUGAAGAUCGUUAGAUGAAUGGACAACAAAGAACAAAUAACCAAAACAGAAUAUGUUUUUCUU